This 572-nucleotide transfer RNA is filed under the name Bradyrhizobium sp. AH8c. Its description in RNAcentral is "partial 16S-23S ribosomal RNA intergenic spacer". The stretch from base 81 to 153 matches the Rfam family "tRNA". Lineage: Bacteria; Pseudomonadati; Pseudomonadota; Alphaproteobacteria; Hyphomicrobiales; Nitrobacteraceae. The record is from RNAcentral.
UUGAUAAGCGUGAGGUCGGAAGUUCAAGUCUUCCCAGGCCCACCAUUUUGAUCGAGUGCGGAGCAUUCGUCUUCUGGUACGGGGCCAUAGCUCAGCUGGGAGAGCGCGUGCUUUGCAAGCAUGAGGUCGUCGGUUCGAUCCCGUCUGGCUCCACCAGAUGGAAUUGAAGCUCGAGAGUGCCUCGUCAAAUUCGUCCGCGAAACAUCACUUCGCACUCAUUGGUCCGGAUGGACGGUGACGUGCGUGUUUUCUGACAUCGUAAAGAGGAGAUCGAUCCGAGUUUGGAUCUGCGAAGCAAUUCGCGGGUACCAUUCCUAAUCUCCAGAUCGUUUUCGGCGCUCGUUCAUCGCUACUCAUCGCAAGAUGAGUGAGAUGAGUGAGUUGUAAAACGAUCUUUGUAGCCGAAGCUUGACCGCCUCGCUAUCGGGCCGAUCUUACGAAGCAAGCUGGUCUUUCUAGUCAAUGUCCGGCUGUGCAAUCGCAUUCAUCGAGGAUGCGCGCCUGGGACUUCGGUCUUUGGGCAAUUACACAGACAACAUUCUGCCGAGUGUGUGGACAUUGAUAAUGAGAGC